UUACUGACACUGAGGUGCGAAAGCAUGGGUAGCGAAGAGGAUUAGAUACCCUCGUAGUCCAUGCCGUAAACGAUGUGUGCUAGACGUUGGAAAUUUAUUUUCAGUGUCGCAGCGAAAGCGAUAAGCACACCGCCUGGGGAGUACGACCGCAAGGUUAAAACUCAAAUGAAUUGACGGGGACCCGCACAAGCAGUGGAGCAUGUGGUUUAAUUCGAAGAUACGCGCAGAACCUUACCAACACUUGACAUGUUCGUCGCGACUUUAAGAGAUUAAAGUCUUCGGUUCGGCCGGACGAAACACAGGUGCUGCAUGGCUGUCGUCAGCUCGUGUCGUGAGAUGUUGGGUUAAGUCCCGCAACGAGCGCAACCCUUACUUUUAGUUGCCACCAUUUAGUUGGGCACUCUGAAAGAACUGCCAGUGAUAAGCUGGAGGAAGGUGGGGAUGACGUCAAGUCCUCAUGGCCCUUACGUGUUGGGCUACACACGUGCUACAAUGGCACUUACAAUAGGAAGCGAGAUGGCGACAUCAAGCAAAUCCUAAAAAAAUGCCUCAGUUCGGAUUGUACUCUGCAACUCGAGUACAUGAAGCUGGAAUUGCUAGUAAUCGCGGAUCAGCGCGCCGCGGUGAAUACGUUCCCGGGUCUU
This 644-nucleotide ribosomal RNA is filed under the name uncultured Alphaproteobacteria bacterium. RNAcentral's name for it is "bacterial SSU rRNA". It matches the Rfam family "Bacterial small subunit ribosomal RNA", at positions 737 to 1382 of the family's 1533-position model. Lineage: Bacteria; Pseudomonadati; Pseudomonadota; Alphaproteobacteria. The record is from RNAcentral.